RNAcentral lists this ribosomal RNA (517 nucleotides) under uncultured eukaryote. RNAcentral's name for it is "SSU rRNA". It matches the Rfam family "Eukaryotic small subunit ribosomal RNA", at positions 245 to 782 of the family's 1831-position model. The record is from RNAcentral.
GAUGAAUCAUAAUAACUGAUCGAAUCGAGGUUCGCCUUGAUAAAUCAUUCAAGUUUCUGCCCUAUCAGCUGUAGAUGGUAGUGUAUUGGACUACCAUGGCUAUUACGGGUAACGGAGAAUUAGGGUUCGAUUCCGGAGAGGGAGCCUGAGAAACGGCUACCACAUCUACGGAUGGCAGCAGGCGCGAAAAUUGCCCAAUCCCGAUUCGGGGAGGCAGUGACAAGAAAUAACAACCCAGAACAUUGUUUCCGGGAUUGCAAUGAGAACAAUUUAAAACCUUAUCGAGUACCAACUGGAGGGCAAGUUCUGGUGCCAGCAGCCGCGGUAAUUCCAGCUCCAGUAGCGUAUAUUAAAGUUGCUGCAGUUAAAAAGCUCGUAGUUGAAUUUCUGUUUGUAAGAGUCGAAGCUUUACAGCUAAGAUUUCUUCGAACAUCUGUUUGCAAGCAUACGUUCGGCCUUCACUGGUUGGCGUAUGUAAGCAAGCGUUUUACCUUGAGAAAUUAGAGUGUUCCAGGCA